Molecule: ribosomal RNA, 450 nt
Filed under: Bracon phylacteophagus
Lineage: Eukaryota; Metazoa; Arthropoda; Insecta; Hymenoptera; Braconidae
Description: partial 16S ribosomal RNA
Source: RNAcentral
CUGCCCACUGAUUAAUUAAUUAAAUGGCCGCAGUAUCCUGACUGUGCAAAGGUAGCAUAAUAACUUGUUUUUUAAUUGAAAACUAGAAUGAAAGAUUGAAUGAAAUAUAGACUGUUUCAAUUAUAAAUAAAUUAAAUUUAUUAUUUAAGUAAAAAAACUUAAAUUUAUUUUAAAGACGAUAAGACCCUAUAGAAUUUUAUUAAUAUCCAAAAUAUUUUUUUGAGGUAUUAAUUUGGUUGGGGUAAUUAAAAAAUUUAAAAAACUUUUUUUUUAUAGGACAUUUAUUUAUGAAUAAUUUAAUUUAAUUUUUAUAUUAGAAAAAUUAAUUACCUUAGGGAUAACAGCAUAAUUUUUUUUAAAAGAUCUUAUUAAUAAAAAAGAUUAUGACCUCGAUGUUGAAUUAAGAUAAAAUUUAAAUGUAGAUAUUUAAAAAUUUAAGUCUGUUCGACU